UGUGAACCAUACCAAACUGUUGCCUCGGCGGGGUCACGCCCCGGGUGCGUCGCAGCCCCGGAACCAGGCGCCCGCCGGAGGGACCAACCAAACUCUUUCUGUAGUCCCCUCGCGGACGUUAUUUCUUACAGCUCUGAGCAAAAAUUCAAAAUGAAUCAAAACUUUCAACAACGGAUCUCUUGGUUCUGGCAUCGAUGAAGAACGCAGCGAAAUGCGAUAAGUAAUGUGAAUUGCAGAAUUCAGUGAAUCAUCGAAUCUUUGAACGCACAUUGCGCCCGCCAGUAUUCUGGCGGGCAUGCCUGUCCGAGCGUCAUUUCAACCCUCGAACCCCUCCGGGGGGUCGGCGUUGGGGAUCGGGAACCCCUAAGACGGGAUCCCGGCCCCGAAAUACAGUGGCGGUCUCGCCGCAGCCUCUCCUGCGCAGUAGUUUGCACAACUCGCACCGGGAGCGCGGCGCGUCCACGUCCGUAAAACACCCAACUUCUGAAAUGUUGACCUCGGAUCAGGUAGGAAUACCCGCUGAACUUAAGCAUAUCAAU
Molecule: ribosomal RNA, 539 nt
Filed under: Trichoderma koningiopsis
Lineage: Eukaryota; Fungi; Ascomycota; Sordariomycetes; Hypocreales; Hypocreaceae
Description: eukaryotic LSU rRNA
Rfam family: 5.8S ribosomal RNA (bases 160-313)
Source: RNAcentral